ACCGUGUACGUACAAGCAGUGGGAGCCUCUCUUUAUGGGGGGUGACUGCGUACCUUUUGUAUAAUGGGUCAGCGACUUAUAUUCUGUAGCAAGGUUAACCGAAUAGGGGAGCCGAAGGGAAACCGAGUCUUAACUGGGCGUUAAGUUGCAGGGUAUAGACCCGAAACCCGGUGAUCUAGCCAUGGGCAGGUUGAAGGUUGGGUAACACUAACUGGAGGACCGAACCGACUAAUGUUGAAAAAUUAGCGGAUGACUUGUGGCUGGGGGUGAAAGGCCAAUCAAACCGGGAGAUAGCUGGUUCUCCCCGAAAGCUAUUUAGGUAGCGCCUCGUGAAUUCAUCUCCGGGGGUAGAGCACUGUUUCGGCAAGGGGGUCAUCCCGACUUACCAACCCGAUGCAAACUGCGAAUACCGGAGAAUGUUAUCACGGGAGACACACGGCGGGUGCUAACGUCCGUCGUGAAGAGGGAAACAACCCAGACCGCCAGCUAAGGUCCCAAAGUCAUGGUUAAGUGGGAAACGAUGUGGGAAGGCCCAGACAGCCAGGAUGUUGGCUUAGAAGCAGCCAUCAUUUAAAGAAAGCGUAAUAGCUCACUGGUCGAGUCGGCCUGCGCGGAAGAUGUAACGGGGCUAAACCAUGCAC
This 641-nucleotide ribosomal RNA is filed under the name Escherichia coli. Its description in RNAcentral is "partial 23S ribosomal RNA". It matches the Rfam family "Bacterial large subunit ribosomal RNA", at positions 555 to 1194 of the family's 2925-position model. The record is from RNAcentral. Lineage: Bacteria; Pseudomonadati; Pseudomonadota; Gammaproteobacteria; Enterobacterales; Enterobacteriaceae.